AAAAUUGUGGUGUUGACAGAGCUGCUACAUGGUUUUGGGCAAACAAUCAACCCUUUGGUAUCUCAGUUGUUUCAUCUGUAAAAUAGGGAUAAGGUAUGAUACCUGGACUAAUUAAUAUAAUUAUCAUUACUAUAGGAAAAUAAAGUUGAUCACUGAUUUCACAUCUCUUAUCAACACCCAUGAAUCAUUUCUAUCUCCUCUACAUUGAAUCGUUUUUUUAAAAGAAGACUAAAAAAAGAUGAAGACGAAAUCCACAUAUGGAGGCUGGGACGAUACAAUUAGAAUGCUCCAUAUUCACACAGGUCCCCAAUGCCUCCCCAUGGCUUCCGAUACGAAGAGAUUUCUCCCUGCAGAGAAUUCUCUUUUCUUGAACCGAGUGGACAUCAAGCCUCAAACCUCCGAUGCCUCCGAAGAAACUAGCCUCUCGAUAAGUCAUUUCCACCAAGGGCUCUGCGCUUGCCUCCAAAUUACCGCCACCAUCUCCAAAUCGAAACACCGAAGCCGCUGCCAUUUUCCCAUUACCCUCACCUAUCAUAGGAACCAUAACAAUUAGCAUUUUUAGCAGGAUUGAAACUGCUAACACAACUUCUUAUGUCCUACACCAUUAAACUUGAUUAGAAAUCCCUCCACGAUUAACAUUCAUCUCGCCGUAUCGCGCUUGAAGGUUAAUAAGACCCACAGGGUCCUGCGGGAGGGGGAGGGGAGCGCAGGCCGGACCGAGGGGCGGAAGCGGCGGCGGGGAGAGGGAAUUUCCCGUUCCGUCCGCUAGAGGGGGUGCUCCGCGGGGAGCGCGCCGCAGGCCGGCCGAGGCUCGGCUUCCCAGGCUGGCUCGCCCGCGCUUGGGGCUGGUAAGGUGAAGCGACAUUAGUAUUCCUCGUUCUCUCUGCUUCCCUCUCCGUAGGUUUUCGUUUCGAAUAAGCCCCUUCACAAAUGCCAGAAGUCAUUGUUGGCUGGGCCGACGUGUGAUGGGUGGUUGGGGGGAAUGGUGUGGAUUUCAACCUGUGAUAUUAAACUGCUUAAAACAACAUCCCGUCUAAUUCUUCUAAGUCAAGCCUGGGUAAGAUAGAUACAUAACAUGUAUGACCAGAUCCUCAGUUUAAGACCUUCAUACAUUAUGUAGCAGUCUGUGUGUGCUGUGGACGCGGCCGUGGGGUGAGCCGCGCAUGGACGGGAGAGGAAGAGCAGCUACAUUACGUAUAAUGCGUAAAGCAAUGUACCGAGCCUUCAGCACACCAGCUGUUUCUGCUUAG
RNAcentral lists this long non-coding RNA (1250 nucleotides) under Mustela putorius furo (domestic ferret). RNAcentral describes it as "lncRNA (ENSMPUG00000026689.1)". The record is from RNAcentral. Lineage: Eukaryota; Metazoa; Chordata; Mammalia; Carnivora; Mustelidae.